RNAcentral lists this long non-coding RNA (6837 nucleotides) under Oncorhynchus kisutch (coho salmon). Its description in RNAcentral is "lncRNA (ENSOKIG00005037783.1)". The record is from RNAcentral. Lineage: Eukaryota; Metazoa; Chordata; Actinopteri; Salmoniformes; Salmonidae.
AUGUGGAGGCUAUAUACAGGGUGUUACGGUACAGAGUCAAUGUGGAGGCUAUAUACAGGGUAUUACGGUACAGAGUCAAUGUGGAGGCUAUAUACAGGGUGUUACGGUACAGAGUCAAUGUGGAGGCUAUAUACAGGGUGUUACGGUACAGAGUCAAUGUGGAGGCUAUAUACAGGGGGUACCAGUACAGAGUCAAUGUGGAGGCUAUAUACAGGGUAUUACGGUACAGAGUCAGUGUGGAGGCUAUAUACAGGGGGUACCGGUACAGAGUCAAUGUGGAGGCUAUAUACAGUGUGUACCGGUACAGAGUCAAUGUGGAGGCUAUAUACAGGGGGUACCAGUACAGAGUCAAUGUGGAGGCUAUAUACAGGGUAUUACGGUACAGAGUCAGUGUGGAGGCUAUAUACAGGGGGUACCGGUACAGAGUCAAUGUGGAGGCUAUAUACAGUGUGUUACGGUACAGAGUCAAUGUGGAGGCUAUAUACAGGGUAUUACGGUACAGAGUCAGUGUGGAGGCUAUAUACAGGGGGUACCGGUACAGAGUCAAUGUGGAGGCUAUAUACAGUGUGUUACGGUACAGAGUCAAUGUGGAGGCUAUAUACAGAGGGUACCGGUACAGAGUCAAUGUGGAGGCUAUAUACAGGGGGUACCGGUACAGAGUCAGUGUGGAGGCUAUAUACGGGGUGUUACGGUACAGAGUCAAUGUGGAGGCUAUAUACAGGGGGUACCAGUACAGAGUCAAUGUGGAGGCUAUAUACAGGGUAUUACGGUACAGAGUCAGUGUGGAGGCUAUAUACAGGGGGUACCCGUACAGAGUCAAUGUGGAGGCUAUAUACAGGGGGUACCAGUACAGAGUCAGUGUGGAGGCUAUAUACAGGGGGUACCAGUACAGAGUCAAUGUGGAGGCUAUAUACAGGGGGUACUGGUACAGAGUCUAUAUACAGUGUGUUACGGUACAGAGUCAAUGUGGAGGCUAUAUACAGGGUAUUACGGUACAGAGUCAGUGUGGAGGCUAUAUACAGGGGGUACCGGUACAGAGUCAAUGUGGAGGCUAUAUACAGUGUGUUACGGUACAGAGUCAAUGUGGAGGCUAUAUACAGAGGGUACCGGUACAGAGUCAAUGUGGAGGCUAUAUACAGGGGGUACCGGUACAGAGUCAGUGUGGAGGCUAUAUACAGGGGGUACCAGUACAGAGUCAGUGUGGAGGCUAUAUACAAGGGGUACCAGUACAGAGUCAAUGUGGAGGCUAUAUACAGGGGGUACCAGUACAGAGUCAAUGUGGAGGCUAUAUACAGAGGGUACCGGUACAGAGUCAAUGUGGAGGCUAUAUACAGGGGGUACCGGUACAGAGUCAGUGUGGAGGCUAUAUACGGGGUGUUACGGUACAGAGUCAAUGUGGAGGCUAUAUACAGGGGGUACCAGUACAGAGUCAAUGUGGAGGCUAUAUACAGGGUAUUACGGUACAGAGUCAGUGUGGAGGCUAUAUACAGGGGGUACCCGUACAGAGUCAAUGUGGAGGCUAUAUACAGGGGGUACCAGUACAGAGUCAGUGUGGAGGCUAUAUACAGGGGGUACCAGUACAGAGUCAAUGUGGAGGCUAUAUACAGGGGGUACCAGUACAGAGUCAAUGUGGAGGCUAUAUACAGGGGGUACCGGUACAGAGUCAAUGUGGAGGCUAUAUACAGGGGGUACCAGUACAGAGUCAAUGUGGAGGCUAUAUACAGGGGGUACCAGUACAGAGUCAAUGUGGAGGCUAUAUACAGGGGGUACCGGUACAGAGUCAAUGUGGAGGCUAUAUACAGUGUGUUACGGUACAGAGUCAAUGUGGAGGCUAUAUACAGGGUAUUACGGUACAGAGUCAGUGUGGAGGCUAUAUACAGGGGGUACCGGUACAGAGUCAAUGUGGAGGCUAUAUACAGUGUGUUACGGUACAGAGUCAAUGUGGAGGCUAUAUACAGAGGGUACCGGUACAGAGUCAAUGUGGAGGCUAUAUACAGGGGGUACCGGUACAGAGUCAGUGUGGAGGCUAUAUACAGGGGGUACCAGUACAGAGUCAGUGUGGAGGCUAUAUACAAGGGGUACCAGUACAGAGUCAAUGUGGAGGCUAUAUACAGGGGGUACCAGUACAGAGUCAAUGUGGAGGCUAUAUACAGGGGGUACCGGUACAGAGUCAAUGUGGAGGCUAUAUACAGGGUGUUACGGUACAGAGUCAAUGUGGAGGCUAUAUACAGGGGGUACCGGUACAGAGUCAAUGUGGAGGCUAUAUACAGAGGGUACCGGUACAGAGUCAAUGUGGAGGCUAUAUACAGGGGGUACCAGUACAGAGUCAAUGUGGAGGCUAUAUACAGGGGGUACCGGUACAGAGUCAAUGUGGAGGCUAUAUACAGGGUGUACCGGUACAGAGUCAAUGUGGAGGCUAUAUACAGGGGGUACCAGUACAGAGUCAAUGUGGAGGCUAUAUACAGGGGGUACUGGUACAGAGUCAAUGUGGAGGCUAUAUACAGGGGGUACUGGUACAGAGUCAAUGUGGAGGCUAUAUACAGGGGGUACUGGUACAGAGUCAAUGUGGAGGCUAUAUACAGGGUGUUACGGUACAGAGUCAAUGUGGAGGCUAUAUACAGGGGUACUGGUACAGAGUCAAUGUGGAGGCUAUAUACAGGGGGUACUGGUACAGAGUCAAUGUGGAGGCUAUAUACAGGGUAUUACGGUACAGAGUCAAUGUGGAGGCUAUAUACAGGGGGUACCGGUACAGAGUCAAUGUGGAGGCUAUAUACAGGGGGUACCGGUACAGAGUCAAUGUGGAGGCCAUAUACAGGGUGUACCGGUACAGAGUCAAUGUGGAGGCUAUAUACAGGGGUACCAGUACAGAGUCAAUGUGGAGGCUAUAUACAGGGGGUACCAGUACAGAGUCAAUGUGGAGGCUAUAUACAGGGGGUACCAGUACAGAGUCAAUGUGGAGGCUAUAUACAGGGGGUACCAGUACAGAGUCAAUGUGGAGGCUAUAUACAGGGGGUACCAGUACAGAGUCAAUGUGGAGGCUAUAUACAGGGGGUACCGGUACAGAGUCAAUGUGGAGGCUAUAUACAGGGGGUACUGGUACAGAGUCAAUGUGGAGGCUAUAUACAGGGGGUACCAGUACAGAGUCAAUGUGGAGGCUAUAUACAGGGGGUACCAGUACAGAGUCAAUGUGGAGGCUAUAUACAGGGGGUACCAGUACAGAGUCAAUGUGGAGGCUAUAUACAGGGGGUACCAGUACAGAGUCAAUGUGGAGGCUAUAUACAGGGGGUACCCGUACAGAGUCAAUGUGGAGGCUAUAUACAGGGGGUACCAGUACAGAGUCAAUGUGGAGGCUAUAUACAGGGGGUACCAGUACAGAGUCAAUGUGGAGGCUAUAUACAGGGGGUACCAGUACAGAGUCAAUGUGGAGGCUAUAUACAGGGGGUACCAGUACAGAGUCAAUGUGGAGGCUAUAUACAGGGGGUACCAGUACAGAGUCAAUGUGGAGGCUAUAUACAGGGGGUACCAGUACAGAGUCAAUGUGGAGGCUAUAUACAGGGGGUACCAGUACAGAGUCAAUGUGGAGGCUAUAUACAGGGGGUACCAGUCCAGAGUCAAUGUGGAGGCUAUAUACAGGGGGUACCAGUACAGAGUCAGUGUGGAGGCUAUAUACAGGGGGUACCAGUACAGAGUCAAUAUGGAGGAUAUAUACAGGGGCUACCAGUACAGAGUCAGUGUGGAGGCUAUAUACAGGGAGUACCGGUACAGAGUCAAUGUGGAGGCUAUAUACAGGGGGUACCGGUACAGAGUCAGUGUGGAGGCUAUAUACAGGGGUUACCAGUACAGAGUCAGUGUGGAGGCUAUAUACAGGGGGUACCAGUACAGAGUCAGUGUGGAGGCUAUAUACAGGGGGUACCAGUACAGAGUCAAUGUGGAGGCUAUAUACAGGGGGUACCAGUACAGAGUCAAUGUGGAGGCUAUAUACAGGGGGUACCAGUACAGAGUCAAUGUGGAGGCUAUAUACAGGGGGUACCAGUACAGAGUCAAUGUGGAGGCUAUAUACAGGGUGUACCAGUACAGAGUCAAUGUGGAGGCUAUAUACAGGGGGUACCAGUACAGAGUCAAUUUGGAGGCUAUAUACAGGGGGUACCAGUACAGAGUCAAUGUGGAGGCUAUAUACAGGGUGUACCAGUACAGAGUCAAUGUGGAGGCUAUAUACAGGGGGUACCAGUACAGAGUCAAUGUGGAGGCUAUAUACAGGGGGUACCGGUACAGAGUCAAUGUGGAGGCUAUAUACAGGGGGUACCGGUACAGAGUCAAUGUGGAGGCUAUAUACAGGGGGUACCGGUACAGAGUCAAUGUGGAGGCUAUAUACAGGGGGUACUGGUACAGAGUCAAUGUGGAGGCUAUAUACAGGGGGUACUGGUACAGAGUCAAUGUGGAGGCUAUAUACAGGGGGUACUGGUACAGAGUCAAUGUGGAGGCUAUAUACAGGGGGUACUGGUACAGAGUCAAUGUGGAGGCUAUAUACAGGGUGUUACGGUACAGAGUCAAUGUGGAGGCUAUAUACAGGGGGUACUGGUACAGAGUCAAUGUGGAGGCUAUAUACAGGGGGUACUGGUACAGAGUCAAUGUGGAGGCUAUAUACAGGGUAUUACGGUACAGAGUCAAUGUGGAGGCUAUAUACAGGGGGUACCGGUACAGAGUCAAUGUGGAGGCUAUAUACAGGGGGUACCGGUACAGAGUCAAUGUGGAGGCCAUAUACAGGGUGUACCGGUACAGAGUCAAUGUGGAGGCUAUAUACAGGGGUACCAGUACAGAGUCAAUGUGGAGGCUAUAUACAGGGGGUACCAGUACAGAGUCAAUGUGGAGGCUAUAUACAGGGGGUACCAGUACAGAGUCAAUGUGGAGGCUGUAUACAGGGGGUACCAGUACAGAGUCAAUGUGGAGGCUAUAUACAGGGGGUACCAGUACAGAGUCAAUGUGGAGGCUAUAUACAGGGGGUACCAGUACAGAGUCAAUGUGGAGGCUAUAUACAGGGGGUACCGGUACAGAGUCAAUGUGGAGGCUAUAUACAGGGGGUACUGGUACAGAGUCAAUGUGGAGGCUAUAUACAGGGGGUACCAGUACAGAGUCAAUGUGGAGGCUAUAUACAGGGGGUACCAGUACAGAGUCAAUGUGGAGGCUAUAUACAGGGGGUACCAGUACAGUGUCAAUGUGGAGGCUAUAUACAGGGGGUACCAGUACAGAGUCAAUGUGGAGGCUAUAUACAGGGGGUACCCGUACAGAGUCAAUGUGGAGGCUAUAUACAGGGGGUACCAGUACAGAGUCAAUGUGGAGGCUAUAUACAGGGGGUACCAGUACAGAGUCAAUGUGGAGGCUAUAUACAGGGGGUACCAGUACAGAGUCAAUGUGGAGGCUAUAUACAGGGUGUACCAGUACAGAGUCAAUGUGGAGGCUAUAUACAGGGGGUACCAGUACAGAGUCAAUGUGGAGGCUAUAUACAGGGGGUACCAGUACAGAGUCAAUGUGGAGGCUAUAUACAGGGGGUACCAGUACAGAGUCAAUGUGGAGGCUAUAUACAGGGGGUACCAGUACAGAGUCAAUGUGGAGGCUAUAUACAGGGGGUACCAGUCCAGAGUCAAUGUGGAGGCUAUAUACAGGGGGUACCAGUACAGAGUCAGUGUGGAGGCUAUAUACAGGGGGUACCAGUACAGAGUCAGUGUGGAGGCUAUAUACAGGGGGUACCAGUACAGAGUCAAUAUGGAGGAUAUAUACAGGGGCUACCAGCACAGAGUCAGUGUGGAGGCUAUAUACAGGGAGUACCGGUACAGAGUCAAUGUGGAGGCUAUAUACAGGGGGUACCGGUACAGAGUCAGUGUGGAGGCUAUAUACAGGGGGUACCAGUACAGAGUCAGUGUGGAGGCUAUAUACAGGGGGUACCAGUACAGAGUCAGUGUGGAGGCUAUAUACAGGGGGUACCAGUACAGAGUCAAUGUGGAGGCUAUAUACAGGGGGUACCAGUACAGAGUCAAUGUGGAGGCUAUAUACAGGGGGUACCAGUACAGAGUCAAUGUGGAGGCUAUAUACAGGGGGUACCAGUACAGAGUCAAUGUGGAGGCUAUAUACAGGGGGUACCAGUACAGAGUCAAUGUGGAGGCUAUAUACAGGGGGUACCAGUACAGAGUCAAUGUGGAGGCUAUAUACAGGGGGUACCAGUACAGAGUCAAUGUGGAGGCUAUAUACAGGGGGUACCGGUACAGAGUCAAUGUGGAGGCUAUAUACAGGGGGUACCAGUACAGAGUCAAUGUGGAGGCUAUAUACAGGGGGUACCGGUACAGAGUCAAUGUGGAGGCUAUAUACAGGGGGUACCAGUACAGAGUCAAUGUGGAGGCUAUAUACAGGGGGUACCGGUACAGAGUCAAUGUGGAGGCUAUAUACAGGGUGUACCAGUACAGAGUCAAUGUGGAGGCUAUAUACAGGGGGUACAAGUACAGAGUCAAUUUGGAGGCUAUAUACAGGGGGUACCAGUACAGAGUCAAUGUGGAGGCUAUAUACAGGGUGUACCAGUACAGAGUCAAUGUGGAGGCUAUAUACAGGGGGUACCAGUACAGAGUCAAUGUGGAGGCUAUAUACAGGGGGUACCGGUACAGAGUCAAUGUGGAGGCUAUAUACAGGGGGUAUCAGUACAGAGUCAAUGUGGAGGCUAUAUACAGGGUGUUACGGUACAGAGUCAAUGUGGAAGCUAUAUACAGGGGUACCAGUACAGAGUCAAUAUGGAGGCUAUAUACAGGGGGUACCAGUACAGAGUCAAUGUGGAAGCUAUAUACAGGGGGUUAA